CCCAGUUGCUUUAAGAAGUUGGCUACAGUAUCAUGGCAGCCUGCCCAGGUUCUUUGCUCAAUCAAGCAAUAGUUGUCUUUGACCAAAAAAGAAAAAAAUAGCCAACAGUAUCCUUGCUGAAUGUCUGCUGGCAUCUGCUAUCAAUAUAGGAAUAAGGGAAUUAAAAGAAAAUUAAAACAUUAAAAGUUUAGUAUUUUGGUUAACGAUAACAUUACAAAAUUAAUUGUUUUAGUAAUUCAUUAUUGAUGCUACCCAGUUUAGAUUAAUUUUUCGAAAAAACUACCAUGCAAUUUUCAUCUAUUACUUUAAUUGUAUGUACAUAAGAGCUAACUUGCUGUAGACAUAGUCAGAAAACCUGCAUCAUUUACCUCUGUAUUAUACAAUUCCAGCAUGUCACAGUGCCCUAGGCAAGGUCACCAAACUCCUAACAAUGCUGUAGGAUGUGACAGAGGAAUCCAUCUUUACAAAUUAGACUUCAUUAUACAUGAUCCUGCUCAUAAAUCUUGACGUAUCGUUUUCUCGUACAAAACCUCUACCUUGCACUUGCAGGUACCCUCUAGAUCUUCUAAUUCACAGAGUAUUUUACAAAUACAUACUGGAUAUAUGCUUAUGUGCAUAAAGCCACUGUGCUGCUGCAAUAGCAGUGCUCUAAAUGAGACCCGACCUCCUGGAGCACCUGCCCUGCUCUGUGUCCUUCUGGUCCCCACCUGGGGAUGGAAAAGCCGCAGGAGGCCGGUUUUCCAAAGCAGAGUAUUUGUGAUGGGCAAAGCAGAGGCUGAUGUUCCUGCAAGAGAGUGCCCUACUAUGAAAAAGCUGCAUGCCCAGCAAUCAAAAAUUUUCACCUGGAAACCUCCUUUUGACAAAACCCAUAGUUUCUUAAAGAAUAAAAAUUGGAGAAAUCAGGAGCAGGAGGUUGCUCUGGUAUAUGAGAAUGGUGAAGAAGGGAACAGGGAGGCAGCUGUGGUACAAAUGAUGACUGGAUGGAUUGCCCUCUGAGUAAACAGGGCACUUCAAUGGAACAGCAGACA
Passer domesticus (house sparrow) is the source of this 1028-nucleotide long non-coding RNA. RefSeq lists it as uncharacterized. NCBI's taxonomy places the organism in Eukaryota, Metazoa, Chordata, Aves, Passeriformes, Passeridae. The record is from RefSeq and is a predicted model, not a curated record. The transcript has 3 exons.